Molecule: ribosomal RNA, 147 nt
Filed under: uncultured bacterium
Lineage: Bacteria
Description: partial 16S ribosomal RNA
Rfam family: Bacterial small subunit ribosomal RNA
Source: RNAcentral
CCUACGGGAGGCAGCAGUGAGGAAUAUUGGACAAUGGGCGGGAGCCUGAUCCAGCCAUGCCGCGUGCAGGAUGACGGCCCUAUGGGUUGUAAACUGCUUUUAUACGGGAAGAAACGCGCCCACGUGUGGGCGUUUGACGGUACCGUA